CUGCAACCAAUUACGCCCACUGGGUUCCUUUCCUUAUGGUGUCCUGGUGUGCAGUGUCUGAAAACAGCAGCCUCCUUGGGAGUGUAGUAACCUGUUGCUUGUACAGGUUGCCCUAAGGACCCUGGAGACAGUU
Molecule: small nucleolar RNA, 133 nt
Organism: Jaculus jaculus (lesser Egyptian jerboa)
Lineage: Eukaryota; Metazoa; Chordata; Mammalia; Rodentia; Dipodidae
Gene: SNORA70
Rfam family: Small nucleolar RNA SNORA70
About the family: snoRNA U70 seems to be exclusive to mammals and is a member of the H/ACA class of snoRNA which contain H (ANANNA) and ACA box motifs. H/ACA box snoRNAs are involved in the conversion of uridines to pseudouridines (5-ribosyluracil) a constituent of structural RNAs (transfer, ribosomal, small nuclear, and small nucleolar).
Source: Ensembl